GACGAACGCUGGCGGCGUGCUUAACACAUGCAAGUCGAACGGAAAGGCCCUGCUCUUGUGGGGUGCUCGAGUGGCGAACGGGUGAGUAACACGUGAGUAACAUGCCCUUGACUUUGGGAUAACUUCAGGAAACUGGGGCUAAUACCGGAUAGGAGCUCCUGCUGCAUGGUGGGGGUUGGAAAGUUCCGGCGGUUGGGGAUGGACUCGCGGCUUAUCAGCUUGUUGGUGGGGUAGUGGCUUACCAAGGCUUUGACGGGUAGCCGGCCUGAGAGGGUGACCGGGGUCCAUGGGACUGAGGUAGGGCCCAGACUCGAACGGGAGGCAGUAGUCGGGAAUCUGGCGGAACAGGCCGGAGCCAGAGGCAGCGACGCCGGGUGCGGAAAACCCGCCUUCGGGUGAUAAACCGCUUUCUCCUGUGACGUGGCGUGCGUGACGGUAAUGAGUAAAGAAGCACCGGCUAACUACGUG
Molecule: ribosomal RNA, 468 nt
Filed under: uncultured bacterium
Lineage: Bacteria
Description: partial 16S ribosomal RNA
Rfam family: Bacterial small subunit ribosomal RNA
Source: RNAcentral